Cercophora newfieldiana is the source of this 72-nucleotide non-coding RNA. Lineage: Eukaryota; Fungi; Ascomycota; Sordariomycetes; Sordariales; Lasiosphaeriaceae. The record is from the annotation of a GenBank genome assembly.
UCCCUAAUAGUGUAAUGGUUAACAUAUCGCGCUUUCACCGCGAAGCUCGGAACUCGAUUCUCCGUUAGGGAG